CCAAUAGCGUAUAUUAAAGUUGUUGCAGUUAAAAAGCUCGUAGUUGAAUUUCGGGAUCAAUAUGUCGGUCGUGCCAUCGGUACGUACUGGUAUCAUUGGUUUCUCCUUUCUGACGAACCAUGAUGUCAUUAAUUUGGUGUUAUGGGAAGUUAGGACUGUUACUUUGAAAAAAUUAGAGUGUUUAAAGCAGGCUUUAGCUUGAAUACAUUAGCAUGGAAUAAUGAAAUAGGACGUUCGAACCUAUUUUGUUGGUUUCUAGGAUCAACGUAAUGAUUAAUAGGGAUAGUUGGGGGCAUUAGUAUUCAAUUGUCAGAGGUGAAAUUCUUGGAUUUAUUGAAGACUAACUACUGCGAAAGCAUUUGCCAAGGAUGUUUUCAUUAAUCAAGAACGAAAGUUAGGGGAUCGAAGACGAUCAGAUACCGUCGUAGUCUUAACCAUAAACUAUGCCGACUAGGGAUCGGAUGAUGUUAAUUUUUUAAUGACUCA
This 486-nucleotide ribosomal RNA is filed under the name Glomus sp. RNAcentral's name for it is "SSU rRNA". It matches the Rfam family "Eukaryotic small subunit ribosomal RNA", at positions 591 to 1078 of the family's 1831-position model. The record is from RNAcentral. Lineage: Eukaryota; Fungi; Glomeromycota; Glomeromycetes; Glomerales; Glomeraceae.